Molecule: unclassified non-coding RNA, 4105 nt
Filed under: Leishmania donovani
Lineage: Eukaryota; Euglenozoa; Kinetoplastea; Trypanosomatida; Trypanosomatidae
Description: gene:LdHU3.13.1010(CDS-product:Leucine_Rich_repea t_putative)
Source: RNAcentral
CAGAGAGAGCGUGCGGUUAUGUGGGUUUUUUUGCGUGUGUGUGUGCAGCCGCGGUAAUACACGCGCUUCCGCUUCCUCUUCGUCGCCCUUCUUUACCUGCUUUGUUGUUAGCUGUUUUUCGGUGUUCUCUGCAGAUCGCGCGCGCGCGCUCUCGCUCGCUCUGGCUCUCGUGACGGACGACCUUCACGCGCCCUGGUGCACGCGGGUCGUCUGUGUUGUGCGCAGUGGAGCUUGGAUGAGAACAGAAGGCAAAGGAGGAGGAGGACGGGCGGGCAAGUAUCUCGCUUCAUAGACGUUCAACAGACUGCGCCGCAUCUUGGGCGGAAGGAGGUGGGCAGGAGACGGAGUAUCCCUUUCAUGCGCAGGCAGGGAAAAGGCAGAGCACCAUCACCGACGGAGGCACGCAGGCCUACUCGGUCGACCCCUUUGCUGUCCACAUCGGCAGAGCCACCAGAGCAUCUUGAAUAGUCACAGCCCCCUCCCCCUAAUUGUUGCCCUCCCCCUGCCCCAACUUGGGAGAAGCCCGAUCAGCGAGGCUAGCGAGGAUGUCCAUGUACGAGGAAGAUGAGCCAUUCGACUUCGAGGGACGUAGCGGCGGUGUCGGGCACACCGGCGUGGCAAGCCUCGACACGAUCAUGCAGUCACUCAACAAGCGCUACGAAGUAUACCAGCGUAGGCGUACUGCCAUGACGCCGUUCGGCUCGCCAGGUGACCCCUCUAUCCUCGUACCACCCGCCUCGCACUCCAUCCUGGGCGACAGCGCGAUCGUCAGCGGCAUCUCAGUCAACGGCGGCGCUGCAGCGUCGCAGCCGCACGAAUCUCCGAAGGAAUCCAUUGUCUUCCCUCGCGCGCGACCGGCCCCGUACUGGGAAGAGCGAGAGCUCUACAUCGUCGCCGAGGGCCUAUGCUGCUGUCUCAAUGGCGGCAUCAACUACCGGCUUCUGUGCGAGCAGUAUCAGCGGGCACUAGAGGUCCUACUGACGCUAGUGCGCGAAGAUCUGCGUCUGUGCGUGUCGAGCGAUAUGGAGCUGGUGCCAGGCGGCAUGGCGAAGUCGUUUCUUGCGAAGCUCAAGGCGCUCUUGCAGGAAUCCAAGCGCAUGCUGGGCGAAGCAGGAGUGAACGUAUCACCCCGGUUGGAGGCCAUGAUUGAGCAGCUGGCCAGCGGCAGCAACAUCAGCAGUAGUAGCGGCGGUGCUAGUCAUGCCUCCCUGCACGCUGGCCACAACACCGCAGCCGCUGCUUCGUCAAGCCGCGGAGCGACCACACCGCCCGCAACGUCGAUGGCAUUCUACGCCGGACGUACCCCAAACUCGCCCACGAUGUCGAACAGGCGACCCACGGGCACGAGCGGUGGCGGAGAGUCUGUAUUCGCGACGCCCCCCACCGCCGCGAACCACAGCGGCAACCUCCCCAGUCUGUACGCGCAGUCGUAUUACGCUGUGCCACCACACAGGCGCCCACCUUCGGCAGGCAUGCGCAGUGUCAACACCCGCGAAGGCGAGGUGGACGGCGGUAUCGCGGCGGCUGCCAGACGACGGCCACCAAUGGCUCCGCCAAGCCGCCCGCAUCUAGCGUCCCCCGACAACGGAUACCUGCAGCUCGGUCACCCUUGCGGUGGCAACGGAGAUGGGUUGCCACGGCAGCAGCAGCAGCAGCAGCAGCAGCCGGCGGCGUCGUCGUCGUCCUUCGGGCACUUCCCCUCCGCGGGUGUUUGUAGCAGCACGCCGAACUUGGCGAACAUCGUGGACAACCCGGUUGAGGGCCGCGGCAGAGCAGGCGGGGAAGGUGUCGGUGAUGCAGAUGUACGCAGCUCGCAUGAAGAUGGCGGCAGCAUCAAGCGAAGCGGUGUUGGUUACCUGAAUUCUUGGUUCUCGGGGGCCGCUCUGACACCGAAAAUCAGUGGCAAGGCGUCCCCCAUCACCCCAGCCGGACGUCCCCUUCAGCGCCAAGCACCGCCGCAGCUAGCGCCGGCAACCGUGAAGCAGCGUACCGUUACCGAGAGCACGUCGCCCAUUCCCGCCACGCCCCCGUCGGAUGGCGGCGUGCCAGGCGUUCAUGGAUACUCCCACGCAGCUAUAGGGGACAGAGUUGUUGGCAGCAGCUCAGCCGUGAAGAUGCAAGCCGAUCUGCUGGCCGCAGAGGUACUUGGCGAAGACGCGAACGAAACGUUUGCCGCCCCAGCUCGGGUGCAUGGUCGCCUUCGGCAGCUGGAGGCGCUCUACGGGGAGUUUUACGCGAUGGACGGCAUGACCCUGCUCAUCGAUGCUCUCGGCGUCGUCUUCACCCGCGAGUACGACCAAGGAACAUCGCAGCAACCCAAAAGCGCCUUCGCCGCCUUCCAGCAGGAUGUGAACGGGAAGGUCAUGCCAGUCCUGCAGUCGUGCGAGAGUCUGCAGCUCUACAUCACCGACCUACAACCGCUGCGGAGCUCCUACCUCGCGAGCUGUCUGGCGCACCACGUGCGGCCCAACAGCACGGUCCUCGACGACCUCAAGAGCAUUGAUAAAGACCGCUCUGUGGAGACGAUGCACUUGGAAGGGCUGCACCUGGGCGACCGCGGUGUGGUGGCGUUCGCCGAGAGCGUCUUGCCUCGGCUGUACCGGCUGCGUUGGCUGGACCUCAGCAACAAUGAUGUGAAUGAUAGCACGCUUGAGCCGCUCCUCCGCUCCAUUCGCUACCACCCUUCGCUGGAGCGCCUGAACCUCUCACGCAACCCGCUGACCGACAGCGCUCUGCCGCUCCUGCUGCGCAUCGCCCAGACGUUGCCGCGGCUAUCAGUGCUGCUGCUGCAGAGCUGCUCCAUGAAGCCGGCAACGCGGCAGAUGGUGGAAGCAGAAGUGGCAGUCUCCGGCACGUGCGCGAUGCCAGUGGCCGCGCACCGGUGCAGUUCAAAGCCCCCCACUCGCUCCAGCAGUGUCAGCAUCGCGCUGAAGAGAGUAACCGCAGCCUCAGAACCGCUACCGGGACCGCCUUCGGGUCUGCCACGCCUGGCACCCCCACGAAGCGAGCGGCGACCCCGGUGACUCAAGUCCGCGGUGUGCGCUGAAGCGGUAUCUAGCUCGCGCAGCAAGACCAUCAAAGCAAGACUGCGCUCAGGGCAACGUUCCCGAGCAGCAUGAAGAGUGAGGGCCUCCACGGUGCCCAUCCGGUCUGGUCCGAGGGCGCUCUCAUGCACGCCCUUGUCGGCCCGCUCGCCGCCCGGCCGUGUGAUGCCUGGGGCCGGAGCAAACAGAGAGGGAUGGGGAAGGGAGGCGUCGACUGGAGAGGGCUGCUGCUCCACUGGGUGCCGUCAAGGCGAAGAUGCCCCGUUGUUGAGGAGGCGCACAGGGAGCGGGGGAAGGGGAGGGGGCUCAGCUUCUCUGUUUCGCACCUCUCUACUCGCCCGCGCCUGUCUCACCCACACACUCUCUUUAUCUCACUUCGCUCCUCCUCGAGGGCCCUCGGCGGUAUGUGUGGGGUGUGUGGCGUGUCUAGGGGAGGCGGGGUGGCGGUCUCCCCUGGAAGGUGAGGUGUAAUGCGUCUGUAUGGACGUCGCCAAUAUAAAAUAUUUCUUUUUCGUCUGCGUGUGUUGAUGUGGUUCGCAUUUGCCGAGCAUCGUUGUCUUCCUCCUCCCUCACACUUUCUCAGUAGCAGGCCCUCUUCCCCACCCCGUCCUCAGCAUCCCUCGAUGCAAUACAUGUGUAGAUGUAUAUAUCAUAUAUAUAUUUGUGUGUGUGCGCGUGUGAUGUCACGGCCUGCUCCUUGUUGAAGGGAGGCCCAUCCGUAUAUACGGAUCUUGCGUACAUGCGCAGAGCAUGUGCAAGGUGCCCGAGUGCGAUCUAUUCGCACGGAAUGUGCCCACCAAAGGUAGAGAGCUCAAGCGAGAGUGUGUAGAAGGACUGAAGUACAACAACGGACAUGUCUUCGUGGGUGAGGGGUAGGUGGCAGAGGCGGAUGUGCUGCUCUUCAGCGCCGCUGCCGCCCUCCCCCCGCCAUCCUCCUCCGCUUGUGCGUCACCAUCACAGCUGAAUCCACGUGCCCUCCGGCCCUUUAAACGCGCUCACGCACACUCCUCCUCCUCACCAUCACCACCACCCCCUCCGCCGCGCCACCAAAAUCCUUUCAG